Molecule: long non-coding RNA, 15460 nt
Filed under: Homo sapiens (human)
Lineage: Eukaryota; Metazoa; Chordata; Mammalia; Primates; Hominidae
Description: non-protein coding LINC00092:9
Source: RNAcentral
GUCAGACCUAGGCUCUCGCAGAGAACUGCAUCGCGCUCCCAGCUCUGCUGCCUCGGUGCGGGGACGGGGCUCUGCAUGAGGACUGGGAAUGUAAGUCCCGGGCCUGGACAGGCGCCCCUGGGAGCUAGCCUGGAGGAGAUUCAGUAGAAGGCUGAGGAGUCGGCUUGGAGGGUCUCGGCAAGGCGGCGCGGAUGGAGAUGAAGCUGCGAAGAAUGCUGAGAAAGAGCGGCCGGGGGCCUUGGAGGGAAGCUAGGGAAACGCUGCGGGGGCAGCCGAGGCCGUCGGCGCCCCGGGAGAAGGUGCAUGUGGAGUGGCGCCGGGGGGACGGGUGGGCGCUGGGCGGCGGCGGCGCCGGCCUGGAGGUGCGGCCUGGGCUCCUUCCGGACCCGCCCGGCCGGCGCAGGGGCUGCAGCCUCCACGCGGGGGCCUUCGGUUCCGCCUCAACUUUCCAACCGGGCCGCCUUCUCCCAGGGCGGGUGACUGAGCCGGGCACACGCAGCCUCUCCCGCGCCGGGCUGCCCCGGCCAGGGUCUUUCCUCCCUCGCCCAGUCGCUGCCCUCUCCUUUCCCGCAGCCCGCGGGGCCUGGGCUCUCCCUGCCAGCUCCUCCUGUGUCCACUUCAGCCUUCCCGGUUCCCCAGGCAGCCUGUCCUGCCGGUCACUCCGUCUCCCACCUGCUUUGCCGGGAACUAGAGCACACACCACACAGGAGGCGGGAGGGGGGCGCAAGAGGUGGGUGUUGGAGGCGGGGGUGUGGUGUGGCUGUGGUGUGAUGUGUGGUGUGUGGUGUGUGUGUGUGUGGUGUGGUGCAUGUGGGGUGUGUGUAGUGUGUUGUGUGUGGUGUGUGUGGUGUGUGUAGUGUGUGGGGUGGUGGGUAUGUGUGUGGGGUAUGUGGUGUGUGUGGUGUGUGUAGUGUGUGGGGUGGUGGGUAUGUGUGUGGGGUAUGUGGUGUGUGUAGUGUGUGUGUGUAGUGUGGUGUGUGUGUGGUGUGUUUGUGCGGUGUGGUGUGUUUGGUGUAGUGUGUUGUAUGUGUGGGGUGUGUGCGUGUGGUGUGUUUGGUGUAGUGUGUGUUGUGGUAUGUGUGGUGUGUGGGGUCUGUGUGGUGUGUUUGUGUGGUGUGGGGCGUGUUUGGUGCGUGUGGUGAGUUUGGUGUGUGUUGUGGUAUGUGUGUGGGGUGUGUGUGGUGUUUGUGUGUGGUGUGUUUGUAGUGUGUGUGGGCUGUGUGUGUGGUGUGGUGUGUUUGGUGUGUGGGGUGUGUGUGGCGUUUGUGUGUAGUGUGGUGUGUGUGGUGUGCUGUGUGUGGUGUGUUUGUGUGUGGUGUGUUUGUGUGUGUGGUGUGUAUAGUGUGGUGUGUGUAGUGUGUUUGUGUGUGUGGUGCGGUGUGUAUGCGGUGGGCGUGUGCAGAAACAACAAGCCCCUGCUCCGCAUGGGGUGUGGAGCAGAUGCUGCGGAAGCCGCCUGGCCUGUGGGCGUUGGCAGUGGGGACCAGCUGACCCAGAGACUCCGCGCUUCCCCGCGCUUCCCCCACCCCCGCCCCACUGCGGCGCUCCGGGGCUCACUGAGUUCCGAAUCCACCUCCUGGGAUCCGCGCCCUGGCUACCAGGCCCUGAGCCUUCUGCGGGCCAGCGAGCUCCCGCCAGGUUCUGCCAACAGGGGGCCCCAGAGGGCGGCGUGGUGGCCGCAGAUCGCAGGACAGGAGCCUGUUCCCGUCAGCAGAGCCCCAAUAACCCCCCGGACUCCCAACGGUGGCGCGGUCAUGCCCAGUUUUCUAGCUUGCUUCAUGCACUCCCAGGACCUGCCUGCCCACAUCCCGCCCGGGCCGGCUGGUCCAUCUCGGAGAUUUGAGUCCAGCUCUCUGGGAGGCCCCAGGGCCAGGCAAGUGCAGAGGUCCGGUUCCACUCCCCAGGGCCCCUUCUCCAGCUUCCAGGACCUCGGUUCUCAGAACCCUCAUGACUUCUCUUUGCUCUUUAGAGACCUUCACUGCUUCUAUCAGUCACCAUAUCUGAAUCUUGGCUUGCCACUCAAUCCUCCAAUAUCGACCAACAACAGGAGAUUCUCUCUAUCUGAGGGGGGAGGUGUGUUUCCCUGACUAGACUCUAAAUACAAAUCCUCCACUUCUCCAUCUGUCUCUCCAGUGAUCUCAGAGGCAUGGUCUUAACACCGCGCACAGUUCCUUGCAAGUUGAAGAGUAGACCCAAAUGAUCAGUUCUAAAAUUCUAUUCUUAUUGAAGAUUACUGGUGGAAAUAUCAAUGCAAACAAAAUGAAAAAGUUCAACAAUGAUUAAUACUGCAUUUCAACAGAAGAAUCAAAUCAUCUUGACAAAACUUCAAUGGGCAAAAUUUGCCUUGGGGAAUUUUAUGCAGGGGAAUCCUUGGGUCUGAUGUGUGGUGGGCUUUGGAUGUGUUGUGUAGCUCAGUGUCCCUUCCUGCUACUCCUAGUCAUCUCCAGAAACUCAGACCACCCAUCUACUAAAGGCAGGUGGAUGAGCAAGGGGGCCUCGGAGGCAUUCCGGAUCACACUGAACCUGAGCCCCACCGCCUGACCCACUCAGUGUCACUGUUAACAGAAACUCGCUGCCAUCUGGCCUCAGGCCUGCCUCCUUCCUAUAGAACUUGACACUGGAAGCACCAGGCGAGCUGGACCUUCUGCUGCUACUGCACUCCCAUGAUGCAGCCUGAGAAUGAAGCCCACCAGAGUGACAGAGAGCAGACCUGAGUGGUGAGCUGGUGACACAGGGUGUGGGUGGUGUCCCUUGAGCUUCGACACCACGCCACACCUGAAACCAGCCUGACAUCCAUGAUUUUGCUUUUUUGCUUAAACCAGUCUGCGUCAUUUUCAACAAAAGAGUUCUACUAGAUAUGACAAAUUUCUCUAGAAGACCUAAGAAGUGAAAGACUUGAAGCUAUUCCAGUGGUUCAGGAACUAGGACACUGGUAGGAAACUGGAAAGAAGGCAUCAGAGUUAAGGAAAUAUUUAUGAGGUCAACUCUGGAAGUCUUGGUUACUGAGUGAAUACAGUGGCUGAGAGGAAUGGAAGCAUCCAACCAAAUAAAAAAAGAUGGUGCUGAGAUUUGGGUUAUGAGGUCAAUGACUGAAGCAAUGCGAUUAACUGAGUUAGGAGUCUCAAAUAUAGGAUGAGUGCAGAGUUGAGGAUGAAGAAUUCUGCUUUGGACACAAUGAGUGUGAGGUGCCCAAGGAUAACCCAACGGGAAGCAGUCACACCAAAGCAACAGGGUGUGCACCUGAAACUCAGAAGGGUGAUUGGGCUAUGGUGAAGAUUCCUGAUCACCCAUAAAUGAAUUCAUUAAAAGCAUGAGAGUGAGUGGAGGGGCCCCUAGAAUAUGGUGGGUGCAUGAGACUAACCCUAGAUUGGGGAUAGCUCCCUGGGAAAUCCAAGGGACAAGGUGAGGAGGAGGAGGCGGAGCCCACCAAGGAAACUAGAAAGAGACCGCUGGAGAGGUCCGAGGACAGCAAGGAGCACAGCCUUCAAGUCUGGGAGCCAACUAUCCAAGAAGAGAGUGGUUUGCUAUGGAUGCCGUGGGCCACCACGUCCCAUCUAGGAAAGCAAGUUGAGGUCUCUCUUGAAUACAUUGGGAUUGAUUACCCAGACUUUAAAGAAUCUAUGUCCCCUACUUCCCUUCAUUCACUCUGCUCUUUACCUUCUCCUCUUCCCUGGUCACCAGCACCUCUGCUAAAGGGUGGAGAAAGGAACUUCUGAUCAGUUACAGAAAAGCUUUGGGGUUACGUGGUGCAAGCUGCUCUGCCUCUGUUUGUGAAGAAAUUAGACUAUGGCCAGCCAUGUGAGUGGCAUCACUUUGGUUUCUGGAGCAAUAGUUAGUAGCAACUUUUAGAGGUGGUCAUUUCGGUUCCCUUCUGGAAAGUGAUUCGUGUUUAAGAAAAAUAGAUGCAACGUUGCUAAGUACACCUAACAUUUAAACAGUCUCCAGCAGAUAAAUGCUGAUACUGACACUUCUCACCAGAAAAAGAGAAAUACCCAUCAUGAGGAAGAGAAAUGACUUUUGUUCAGUUAUGCUCCCGGGUCCCCUUUCACUGGAGGGAUAUCUCAGCUUUCUGAGCCCCUGGUUACUGCAAUCCUCGGUUCCAGAACCCAGCAAUUCCUAUCAUCACAAUUGUUUCAAGUCUUAUCCAAGCCCUGUAUAUUUCAGAUCAUCCUUAAUUUCUUGUUCUGUACCCAGAGGAGAUCAGGAAAACCUUUAAGUCUCUAUGUGAGGCAAAUACAUCCUCCUCACUGCCCCAGCCCCAUGUGAUUGAUGAAGCAACUGAGGAAGAGAAGUAGGGUGCUUCUGGCACUGGAGGAGCGCAGUGCUGAGAAACUCCGGGCUCCAUUCGGAAAUAGCACUGAUUUCUUAGUGUACUUUUUUUUGGUGUUAAUAUAGAAAACAUCAAAAACACAGUUAAAAGAAUGAAGCAUGUCUACAUACGUGUGGCCAGAAAGACUGACCAGAAGCUGGUAGCAGUGAGGGAUGACAGUGCUUGCCCCUGGGUUGAAUAGUGGAAGAGUUAGGGGGGAAACAGUCUGCUCUUUGAGACCCUUUCAAUUUCAUGUGAUGGAUUUACAGAGACAGAUGAAUUAAACAUUAUAUAAAAAAGGAAUAAAACCACUGGUAGGAUCUGUAUUCCAGGAAGAAAAAAGCAUAUUACAUAAUAGGUCAAUGCACAGAAAUAAAAAAAGGAAUUUAACUAGAGCCUAUGCUAAUCAUAAAUCCCUUCCCUGUUCCAGAGUCCUGUUGUCUCUGGGGUCUUGGCCUGUCUUAUCUAGGCCAUGGAGUGGUGGGGGUGGGAUGCUGCUAGUUCCUAGGCAGGAAAUAGUGGCCAGUUACCCUUGUGGUGUCAUUUCUGGGUCCUGGAAAGGAGACCACUGCUGACCCCUGACUCACCAACCAACAAUUAUUGAUGGAAAUCCCACCGGCCUCCCCGGACAAAGGCAGCCCAGACCUGGACUCAUUCACAUGUAAAGGAAGUGGCCAGAAGUGGCUGCUGUUGGCAGGGGUGAGGGACGGGAGAGCGCGCUAAGUGGCCUGUGUCUGUGGGGGAGGGAGAGGGUGGAGCAGCACAAGCCGGCCUGAGGUUAGGAGCCUGCGGUAUCUCCAGGAAAGCAGAGGCGGCUGUGGGGGGCGCCGGGGCUGAAGAGCCAAGUGUGGAGACUGCUCCAUCUUGCCCAUCUCCAGAAACUCAGACCACCCAUCCAUUAAAGAGAAAAGCAGCCUGAUUCGGAGGAACGGGUUGCUUGGGGCGGCUCCCAGCUCGAGUUGUGGGCCCCGCCGCGGGUGCCCUUCGGAAACGCGCUGACACCAGGCGAAGCCGCCUCUGCCCGGACGCAGCCCGACACUUGGCCCGCGGGGUUCCCCGGGACGCCUGAGAGUAAUGGGCGCGAGGGGGAAAGCCGAACGGCCUCCCUGUGCCCGGCGCAGGCGGUGCCCCCUAGCUGGGUUCGCCGCGGCGGCGCUGCGAGCCCCCGACACUGAGGACUUUUGGUCCAACAGUCCGACGGGGCCCGGUGCGCCGUUCCCUCCGCCCUCUCCCCGCUCCCCGGCCCGCGCGUCUUGGAGGGUGGGUGAAUUGUCGGAAGCACUCUACGCCUGGCCAACCCAAACCAGGAACCUCCGCACCAAACAGCCCACGUUGCUGCUGCUCUGGGGUUUUAACGGCCAAGGGAGACUGGAGAAGGGGUGUUCUGCCUUCCCAUUCUCUUAGGCCCGUCCACUCCCCAUCCCCACAGUUUGGAAGUGGCCUUUUCUGAGGACUCCAGCGCAAAGCAUGUUUCUCCUUUUGAGCUGCGGAAGCCUUGCUUGUUCCCGCCAUUGGGAGGGCAUUCCAUCAUCUGCAGCUGCCUUCCUCGGUGGGCCUUGUCCCUUAGCGUCCACCUAGGGGACAUUCUAAGCUUCUUGAGACCUGCUUGUCCACCCCAACAUGUCUCAGCAUAUGGCUGUGCCCUAAGGGGUCUUUGAGGGCAUUUUAGGAGGUGAGCGGCGCCCCUACCUGGGCUCCGCGGGGCCGAUUCGGUUUGCCCUUUGCUGGCAUGUCAGUGAAUUAACUGCUGUCCUUGGGAUGACCUGCCCUAUGAUUUGGCCUCUGGAGCAUCCCGGGUGUGUAUUUCAGAACUCCUCCCAUCUUAUCCACCUGCUGAAGGCCUGGCCCCCUGAUAUGGUUUGGCUCUGUUUCCCCACCCAAAUCUCACCUUGAAUUUUAAUAAUCCCCACGUGUCAUGGGCGGGACCAGGUGGAGGUAAUUGAAUCAUGGAGGUGGUUUCCUGAACGCUGCUCUCGUGACAGUGAGUUCACAAGAUUUUUUUUUUUAACGGAGUAUCACUCUGUCACUCAGGCUGGAGUGCAGUGGCGCGAUCUUGGUUCACUGCAACCUCUGCCUCCCGGGUUCAAGAGAUUCUCCUGCCUCAGCCUCCCGAGUAGCUGGGAUUACAGGUGCGCGCCAUCACGCCCGGCUAAUGUGUAUUUUUAGUAGAGAAAGGGUUUCACCAUGUUGGUUAGGCUGGUCUGGAACUCCUGACCUUGUGAUCUGCCUGCCUCGGCCUCCCAAAGUGCUGGGAUUACACGCGUGAGCCACUGUGCCCAGCCGAUCUGAUGCUUUUAUAAAGGGCUUUCCCCGUCCCCCUUCCUCUCUCUCACCACCCUGUGAGAAAGGUGCCUUUCUUCCCCCUUCACGUGAACUGCCUCCAUGAUUGUAAGCUUCCUGAGGCCUCCCCAGCUAUAAGGAACUGUGAGCCAAUUAAACUGCUUUAUAAAUUAACCCAGGUAUUUCUCGGGUAUUUCUUCAUAGCAGCGUGAGAAUGGACUGAUACACCCCCAAUGUGGAGUAGGGGAAGCUGAGGGAGUUAGGAGGUCCCAGCAAGGUGAAGGUGUGAUGGGGUCUUGGGACAGUGAGAGUGCUGCCUCAGGCAACAGUGGGCAGGUCAUUGAGGCUCCAUUGAGCUUGGUGAGCAGGAAGCUGAGAGAGGGAGCUGUCGAUUCAGGAGUCAGGGGUGACAUGGAAGGAACCUAGGGCUUUGCCAGGCACAGGUGAAGGAAGGCCACUUAGGUACUGGCAGUGGGAAGAGAGGGCAGGGAGUGGUGGACGGAGAGGAAGAGAAAGCUGAACACUGGAGCACAAUGCGGGUGCUGGGAGGCAAGCAGAGGGGGCUGGGGGCUUCUCAUAUGGUGCAUCCUGGCAUUUAUAUUUUGAAAAAUAAUUGUUUUGUUCCCAUUAGUGCUUUUAUAAUAGUUUUAGGAAAGAAGAGAAAAUAUGAAUUAGCUAUUAUGAGGCUUCUUUUGAAGUUUCUUUCAGUUCAGAAACAUAUCCCACUUUACAAAAAAAUUAAGAAAAUUCAAAGUUAAAAAAUGUAGGGAGGCCAAUAAUUUUAGUUGCCAGACAUUUUAGUCUGACAAGACAACUCAUUGGAGUUUCCUUAGAGACGUAUUAGAAAUUCAGAGCUGCACACGCAUUUUUCCCCCUGCCAGAUAAACUGAAACAACAUAAAGUGAGUUUUAGUUAUUUCUUUCAACGAGACUGCGAGGCCUAUUUAGCUAACGAAAAAGAUAUCUGUAGAAAGAAGCAUUCUUGAUUCUUAUCUACAAGACAGAGCAGCAAAAAACCAAGAAUGUCAGAUGAGUAUUAUCUCUGUCCAUGGCAGAAAGGUAUCAUGUUGGUAUAAUUAAGAUUGGUCUUAAUGGAAACUUAGGCAAUAAAUAUAAACAUCAUAGUUUAACCUGCAGCAAAGCAAAUAAAAUACAUGAAAUAUAAUAGAAAAACAAUGCAGGCAAAGGCAGGCAGAUUGCUUGAGUCCAGAAGUUCGAGACCAGACCUGGGCAACAUGGCGAAACCCUGUCUCUAAAAAAAAAAAAAAAAAUGCAAAAAUUAGCCGGGCAGGGUGGUGCACAUCUGUGGUCCCAGCUACUUGGGAGGCUGAGGUGGGAAGAUCCCUUGAUCCUGGGAGGUCGAGGCUGCAGUGAGCUAUGAUUGCGCCAUUGCACUCCAACCUAGGUGACAGAGUGAGACUCUGUCUUACAAAAAAAGAAAAACAAUGCUAUGUGUGAAUUUUUUUCCAAUCUUUUAAUAAGGAAAAUGUUUUUUUCAAAAUAAUGGCUUAUAUGGAGUGUCAACAUAAAAACAAUAUAAUUUCAAAUUGAUAAGUAAAAUAUAGUCAGCAAUCUCACAUACAUCAAAAUUUGGUAUAUAACACACAUUCUGGAGAGGUGUUGCUUUUGGUCUUACUUUUUUUCCAUUUUUAAAAUUGUAAAACACAUACAAAAUUUAGCAUUUUAAUGACUUUUAAGUGUACACUUCAGUGUCAUUAAAUUCACAUUGCUGUGCAACCAUCACGACCAUCCAUCUUCAGGCCACUUUGCAUCCUGUGUAACAGAAACUCUACACCCAUUAAUAACUCCCCUUUCUCCCCUCCCUCCAGCGUCUAGCAACCACCAUUCUACUUUGUCUCUAUGAAUCUGACUAAUCUAGGUACUUUAUAUAAGUGGAAUCAUACAGUAUUUGUCCUUCUGUGUCUGAUUUAUUUCACUUUGCAUACCGUCCUCAAGAUUCAUCUAUGUUGUAGCACGUGUCCGAAUUUCCUUUCAAGGCUGAAUAAUAUUCCUGUGUGUGUAAUAUUUUGCUUAUUCAUCGAUAGGUACUUGGAAUGCUUUCUUCGUGUUGUAGCCAUUGUGAAUAAUGCCACUAUGAACACAGAUGUUCAAAUAUGCGUGGACAUUUUUAUAGGAAUGUAACAACAACAAAAAGCACACAGUGGGCUCCAUCAUGAGCUCAGCUGCAUACAGAGAUGGGGGGCGCUGGAAGUCGUGGUGGGGCAACUGAAGCACCUCUCUGGAAAUACUGUGUCCCAGGGGGACAGAAGGUCAGGCAGGUGGGUCCUGCCCAGGGACAAACCUGACAAUCACUGGCACAUCAGAAUUCCUGUGAAACUGCAAAAACAAAAAGGGUGCCUGUGCUGAGCCCUAGACCCCCUGAUUCAGUCUCUUGAUGAGGACCCUGGACAUGUGCAUGCUUAAAAGCCUCUCCGGAGGUUCUGACUUGCUACCCUUGGGGCUGGGAACCACACAGCCUGGGACUUGGGAAGGAAGGGCGAAUCUGUCUUUCCUCCUAGGGGCAGAGAGUAACUAUCAGAUGCACUGUUUUCCUAGAGAAACCCUGCAAGACCCUGAGGCAAAAUAGCUCUCCUGGGGUGGCCCUUUAGCCAAGCAAAAGUGAGAUGUUCUUCCCUCCUGCAACAAAUACCAAGUGGAGCCAGCCGUACAUGCCACAGUGUACAGGGGCUGUCACCAAGAGGAAAGUGGCUUAUGAACCAUCCCAGUAAGGCCUCCUAGAAGCACUGGGCAGAGGAUGCUUUGCAAUCUCUGGUGGAAGAUGAAACCAGAAACAAGUCUGUAUCCGUGAUGAUGGAAUGAGCAGCAGGCAAGGAGCCUAGAAAGUGAUGGGCACUCUUGCUCUUUGAAGGUGUGUGCCUGUCAUUGGGGCUGACAGGUUCAGUGACAUCCUCGGUGAGGCCUAGAUCCUAGAUCCACUGUUAGCUGGAUUUGUGACAUAAAAAUCCUUCACAUGCAAACAAACAAACAAACAAACACACAAAAAAACCUUUAAGGCAGGCAGUGAUCCCCAUUCCUUUGGAUUUUAUAGACCAGUAAGUGUCAAAUAAAACUUCUGGGACUGACAUAUGAUUACCAACUUUUAUGUAAGGACAAUGAAAAAGACCAAAAGGUAUGAUCUACCAUCAUUUCAAAAAAGAGGGCUAUUUUGAUAUCAUAAAAGAAGGAUAACUUCAGAAUUUAAAAGCGUACACAUUGAACUUUAAUUAGAAAAUAACCGUGUAUUUCCUGUGGCUUUCUCAUUUUCUGUGGAAGGAUGAAAAGUUUAUCAUCAUCUCUGCAAACUAAGGCUUCUUUGCCUUGAAUACUUAGGGGCAGCUGCACCAUUUGCAGAUGUUAUUUAUUUCCUUGAAGAGGUGUUUUCAGGGCUGUAAGAGAACCCUGAGGAAUUCAAGUGCAAAAAUCUCUUGGUAUCUUGCCUCAGUUUCCAAUAUUAAUAGCUGUGUGGUGAGUGUUCAGCCAGAAACGGUAUCAUUGCUUAAGUAAAAAAGAUUGUGGCAAGUAGCAUCAUGGAAACAAAGUUGAAAGGUUUUCUUAGAAAUGAUCUCAUCUCUGUGGUUUUCAAAUUAGUGCUCCAUGGAGCCACAGUGGUGUUGCUUGAAGCAACAGACUUGCAUUUUAAUUGUUUUACUAGUUAAGUUUCUGAUUAAGAUACAGUUCAGUUGCUUUAAGAAAAUGGCUGACCACCACUGAUCUAAUCCAUCACCAAUUUAAAGGGGAAACUAAGGCUAAAAGGAGGUAAGGGAUUUGCUUGAGGCCACCCAUUUAGUUAGCAGAACUUGGUGACACAUCACCAGUGGAGUGGGGGUAGGAAGGAUCUUGUCAAACCUUCCUAGUGUCUGUUCUCAGGUCAUCAAUGGUUGUACCAAAUCUUUCCAUCACUCCAUUGCAGGGAGUCCACUCCACCUGACAGUUUCCGUUCUGAAACAGGCUCCUUUUCAUACUGGACUCUGCAUUCCACCUGACACACUUUCCUACAUAAUAGUGAUAAAUAUUUCACUGACAACUGUUGGAAACUAAUUUUUAAACUCCAGUUCUGCAUUUUUGCUCCCAUUUUGACUACUAUUGAUAAAAGUUUCCUUUUUUGAGAUGGAGUCUUGCUCUGUCACCCAGGCUGGGGUGCAGGGGCACAAUCCUGGCUCACUGCAAGCUCUGCCUCCCAGGUUCACGCCAUUCUCCUGCCUCAGCCUCCCGAGUAGCUGGGACUACAGGCGCCCACCACCACGCCUGGCUAAUUUUUGUAUUUUUUUUUUUUUUAGUAGAGACGGGGUUUCACCGCGUUAGCCAGGAUAGUCUCGAUCUCAUGACCUUGUGAUCCGCCUGCCUCGGCCUCCCAAAGUGCUGGGAUUACAGGCGUGAGCCACUGUGCCCGGCCUAAAAGUUUCUUUAAUAGCAUUUAUUGGCUGGGCAUGGUGGCUCACACCUGUAAUCCCAGCACUUUGGGAGGACAAGGCAGGUGGAUCGCUUGCAGCCAGGAGAUUGAGACCAGCCUGGCCAACAUGGUGAAACCCCAUCCCUACUAAAAACACAAAAAAAUUAGCUGGGCGUGGUGGCACGCACCUGUAGUCCCAGCUACUCGGGAGGCUGAGGCAGGAGAAUUGCUUGACUCGGGGGGCGGAGGCUGCAGUGAGCCAAGAUCGAGCCACUGCACUCCAGCCUGGCGACAGAGUGAGACUCCGUCUCAAAAAAAAAAAAAAAUGUUUAGCUGAGUGUGGUGGUACACACCUGUAAUCCUAGCUACUCAGGAGGCUGAGGCAUAAGAGUUGUUUGGGAGGGAGGUGGAGGUUGCAGUGAGCCAAGAUCAUGCCACUGUACUCCAGCCUGGGUGACAGAGUGAGACUCAAUCUCAAAAAAAAAAAAAAAAAAAAAAAAACUGUACAUAUAUGAAGACUAUAGAGCUAAUAUUUAUAUGAAUAUCAUAAUUUACAAGGUAUUAAAAUGUUUGAACUACAUUGUCUUGUAUAUAAACUGAAAUGAAGUGGUAUCUACUUACUGGAGUUCCUCAGAUAGCUGAUCACAUUGUAGGCUGAAAACAUCUACAAGUCAAGUCUAUCAAGGACCAUAUCAUGCACUCAUUGUGUAGAAGGCCCCUCAAUGGCAAAACAUACCAUCUGGUAAGUCUGGACACAACUCAGCUGCACAGAGCAAACAAAUGACGAACUCAUAUAAUUUAAAACAGCGUUUUCACACUGUGGAUCUUAACCAUGGGCCAUGAAAUUCAAUUCAGUGGGUUGUGAGAGGAUUAACACACACACAAACCCACUGCCCUACCAAACACAAUCCUAGAAGAGAAAAAUGUCAAAGUAUGUUACAUGGCUUAUGAGUAAAUAUUUCAUAAACAUUUUAUUCCAAUCAUAUAUGUACGAACACAUAUGUACUGAGUCAUGACAUAAAUUUUACAAUUCUCUAGGGCAAAACAUUGCUCUAAAGAAAAGCAUACUUGGCCGAUCAGUCCCUUGAGAAGACUUUUGUUUUUGAUUUUUUGUUCACUUCUGAGCAAUGACUCUACAUCCUGAGUACACGGAAGCCCUCUCUCCUCAACUUGAUAGCAGUGCUCUUUAGCACAGCCAGUUCCCGGCUCAGGCUGUUUUCUGGAGGGAUGUGUCCUCCUCUUGCAGCCCUGUGAACUAACUGAAGGACAGCUGCAGCGGUGCAUCUGAACCUGCAGCGGAGGCAGCUCAGGUCCUGCCUACAGCAUGCACAUGUGAUGCCAGGGGCUUUCCACCAUGAUUUUUCACUGACAUGAUUUCCUUUCAUUCACCGGUAGCUCUGCCUUACCUGUAGAGCUCAAGCUCCUAGCACAGAACACAGGGGCUGAGUAAAGGCUUCUAAAUACAUGCAUUCAACAAUAAGCACAUUCAUUUUGCUAUAAACCAUAAAUAUUACACUCAAAAUAUAACAGUUUCUAACAAAAUAAAAAGUUUACCCAUUUCUUCAUACUUAAGAACUACAAAAGUACUAUACAAACCUUUAUUUACAUUAAAUCACAAUAGGUACAUAAAAAGUUGAGGCACUGGUAUCUGUGGCUAAUGGUAGUAAUCACAGCUCAUAUAGUAAAGUGUAUAACAUUAACCUUUUAAUUUUGAGCUGUUGCAAAAUUACCAUUUUAAUAUUAUAUAUACCAUAUAUUCAGUACCAAUUAUGACUUUUUUCUAAAAUAAUAAUAGAACAUGAUGCCCAGGGAAAAAGAAAAUACUUAAUAACUUUCCCAAGUGCUAGUAAAAAACACAUUGGUAUACACCUGAUUUGAGGGGCAGACAUGAUUCAGCCUAUGAGCCAUUAGGAGAGCGAAGCAAAGCUUUUUUAAACUGGAAGGACACUCAUGCUGAUUCGGUACAGACUCUUCAUCUUUCAUACUGGGAAACAAUGCUCACCGGGGCAAGUGUCACAUCAUUAUGUAAUAUAGUAAGAAAGAUGUCCCAGGUCUCCUAUUAACAAACCUAGAAUCUUUUCUAAUUCAUAACAGAGGUUUAUACUAUAAAUACAAUCAUAUUCUUGAAAGAUCAAAUCAAAUAUCAAGAAAAACAGAUCCAUGACAAUACUUUAGACUUCAAAAAAUCCUAAAGCAAUAAUUUAAUAAAAAUAUAUGUCAACAACUGUGUUCAAGAUAAUAGAAUCAGUGUGGAAUCCAGUGCCGUAAACAGUGAUGGCAGCAGUUUACUGGUGCAGUAAUUCAUUUAUAUGCUUAUGUGGUACUCUGUGUAUUGGUUGCGUUUUCAUCUGUAUCACUUGGGCUAAAUUUCUUCCAUAAAAAUUUCUCAUUUGAUUUCCAAAGAGAAGUUGCUGGCUCUUCUCUCCUUUUAAAGGGUGCUGCUAGAGGUGCUUUUUCACACAGAGUCUCUAUUACUGCCAAGUCUGUGAGUUUACUAAGACUCUCAUCAUUCUGCUCAUUCAAGAUGUCCCAGAAAUCUUUUGGUCUCUGUUUUGCUUUUUCCAUGGGCCCUGAAAGAACUUUCUUUGGCAGUUGUGUGGGACUGUUCCCAUGACUUUUAAAAAGGUCAUCAAGAAUAGAGGUAUCACCAAGUAAGCUUAUCACAGAAGUAUUUUCCAGCACUGGAUUUUCUAUCUUUUUGUUUUCCAAUUUGAGAAGGGGUUCUUUUCUUGAAAUGCCCGUUCUUGUGAGGUCCUGUUGGUCUUUCAUGGUAUUUUCUAACCUUCUCUCACGUGUUUCAGACUCACUGUUCAGAGAACGGGAUGUCACAGUAUCUUCGGAUGCCUGGCUGUUUUUCCCACUGUCAAUCUCUUGAGUAGAACUAACAGGUGAUUUCUUAGUUUCUGCAUCAUUAAAAAACACCUCUUCUCUAUAGGAAAUAUGAUUCUGAAACUUAACUGAUUUUCUUUUAUAUGUUUUUAGGCUGCAAACUUGAGAAAUUUUGUUGGUAGAAUCUUUAAAUGACAAGGUUUCAGAAUCUGACAGCCUUGGUUUUAUAAGAGAUUCUCUUUUAUCAGAUUUCUUCCGGGUGCGCUGCUCUCCUUUCUCAAAGGAAGAAUUGUUGAAUUGUGACACAGAAUCCACAAAAAAUUCUUUUACCUCUGGAUAUUGAGAAGCAUAAAAGUCUCUUAGCAUUUUCUGUCGUUCUUCUGAUGUGGCAUUGGUUAUAUGUUUAGCAAAUUCGUUUACAGAAGACGAGUUAAAAUAAGAGGCCAUUUCUUCAAAUUGUUUUCUAAAGAUUAAAUGAACAAAACUAGUGGUUAUUUUCAUUACAUUUUAUUUUGAAAGAACUCAUCACCAGUAAGAGGAAAUGUAGAGUCCACAGAAGGUAAUCUUGUUCCUUUAGCAUACGUCUGCUGAAUUCCACAAUGAAAACGCAUUUUAUCCUAGUAGAGUGAGGCCUCUACCCUUAUGCUACUGAGAAAAGUAUUUUAGCUCACAAAAUCACCAGCUUUGUAAGUUAUUUUGAUUUAUGCUAUUAUAUUAGGUAUUUCCUGGGAAUUAUGGAGGCCCAGCAUGCUACUCCUCCUUUGAGCCAAUUUAUGACUGACAUGAGGAUCAUGAUUUAUAGACUCUGUACUUGAAAAUCUAUAUUGUAUUCAAGUCUCAUGAAAUGAAAUUGUCAAAGAAUCUUAACGAAAAGAGCAAAUUCUGAAAAAUUAAGAAAGACAUUUUUUUCCCUUCCCUCUCCUUUUCCCCUUCUUUUACAAAUACAACAUAGAAAUCGCACAAGACUUUUUGAUGAGCCCAAAGGAAAGUUCUAAACUGAUAAACCUAGACUAUUUUUUCCCCAGUUGGCAUGGACACCUAAGCUAAGGAGUGAGAUGCUAUUAGAAGAAAUGUGUUGUAUUCUUAGUGUAAGAUACUAAUAAAAGCUGUUGUAUGCAUGUAUGAGGAAAUGGGCCUUCAAGAACCUUGGUAAGAUAGAGGCAGAAAGAUUUAGGGACCUGGGCAAUGAGCCCUGCUCCUUUCCCUAAAUGAGGGUGCCAUGGACUAAACUGUGCCCCUCCCCCAAAUCAUGCAGAAGCCCCCUAACCCAGGACGUAACAGUAUUUGGAGUUAGAGCCUUCAGGAGGUAAUUAAGGUUAAAUGAAGUCAUACGGGUGGGACCCUGAUCCAACAGGAUUAGUGUCCUUAGAAGAGAUGCCAGAGAACCCACACAGUUUCUUUCUCUUCUGUCUCUUCCUCUCUGCCAUGUAAGGAUACAGGGAGAUGGUGGCCACCUGCCAGCCAGGAAGAGGGCCCUCACCAGAAACUGAAUCAGCUAACUUCUUGUUGUUGGCCAUCCAGCCUCCAGAACUGUGGACACGAAUUUCUGUUGUUUAAGCCACCCAGUCUAUAGUAUUUUGUUAUGGCAAUCCAAGCAGACUAAGACAAUGGGUAUUGCUUUGCUGAUGAUGAGUUUGGGCCAUGAGAUAGAAC